UUCUCUAAAACAUAUCACAGAAUGAGACAAGUAAACAAUUAGGCUGUGACAACGUAGAGCCUUAAUGACCCUGAAACUGCAAGCUGUUAAGUAUGGUAUGUUGGAGAAACUACUGAGAUGAUGGGGCCCAUCUCCCAACACAAGACGCAGAGCUCAUUAAUGGAAAGGGUGGGAAGGCAAGAGGGCUUUUCUUUUCUCUUUGUCAGACUCUCGCAAUACUCUACAGACAGCUGACUGAAGAGAGACGAGGGAGAGAAAGGCCGCCAUUAAUGAAGAGACCGAGAAUCAUUCUAUGCAUAGGGGUAUCGGAGAAGGUCGUCAGCUGUCUUGAGUGACAAAAUUUUUGUUGUUCUGAGCAAUUUUGAAAGAAGCUCAGCAGGCCUUCACCAAACCAAAACUUUCGCAAGCAUCGACGUCCAAUACAAGAAUUUCAGCAUAUAGUUCUGGAUUGCUCAGCAGUGGGAGCCAGAAAGAGAGUCUGAUGGAACACCCAAUGUGGAAUAAGCAUCAACAGCUCUUCA
Phalaenopsis equestris is the source of this 521-nucleotide long non-coding RNA. RefSeq lists it as uncharacterized. Lineage: Eukaryota; Viridiplantae; Streptophyta; Magnoliopsida; Asparagales; Orchidaceae. The record is from RefSeq and is a predicted model, not a curated record. The transcript has 3 exons.